This 73-nucleotide transfer RNA is filed under the name Marmota monax (woodchuck). RNAcentral's name for it is "tRNA.Ala". The record is from RNAcentral. Lineage: Eukaryota; Metazoa; Chordata; Mammalia; Rodentia; Sciuridae.
GUGGGAUAGUGGCUCAGUGGUAGAGCGCUUGCCUAGCAUGCGCAGGGCCCUGGGUUCGAUCCUCAGCACUACA